UGAACGCUAGCUACAGGCUUAACACAUGCAAGUCGAGGGGCAGCAUGGUCUUAGCUUGCUAAGGCCGAUGGCGACCGGCGCACGGGUGAGUAACACGUAUCCAACCUGCCGUCUACUCUUGGACAGCCUUCUGAAAGGAAGAUUAAUACAAGAUGGCAUCAUGAGUCCGCAUGUUCACAUGAUUAAAGGUAUUCCGGUAGACGAUGGGGAUGCGUUCCAUUAGAUAGUAGGCGGGGUAACGGCCCACCUAGUCUUCGAUGGAUAGGGGUUCUGAGAGGAAGGUCCCCCACAUUGGAACUGAGACACGGUCCAAACUCCUACGGGAGGCAGCAGUGAGGAAUAUUGGUCAAUGGGCGAGAGCCUGAACCAGCCAAGUAGCGUGAAGGAUGACUGCCCUAUGGGUUGUAAACUUCUUUUAUAAAGGAAUAAAGUCGGGUAUGCAUACCCGUUUGCAUGUACUUUAUGAAUAAGGAUCGGCUAACUCCGUGCCAGCAGCCGCGGUAAUACGGAGGAUCCGAGCGUUAUCCGGAUUUAUUGGGUUUAAAGGGAGCGUAGAUGGAUGUUUAAGUCAGUUGUGAAAGUUUGCGGCUCAACCGUAAAAUUGCAGUUGAUACUGGAUAUCUUGAGUGCAGUUGAGGCAGGCGGAAUUCGUGGUGUAGCGGUGAAAUGCUUAGAUAUCACGAAGAACUCCGAUUGCGAAGGCAGCCUGCUAAGCUGCAACUGACAUUGAGGCUCGAAAGUGUGGGUAUCAAACAGGAUUAGAUACCCUGGUAGUCCACACGGUAAACGAUGAAUACUCGCUGUUUGCGAUAUACAGCAAGCGGCCAAGCGAAAGCGUUAAGUAUUCCACCUGGGGAGUACGCCGGCAACGGUGAAACUCAAAGGAAUUGACGGGGGCCCGCACAAGCGGAGGAACAUGUGGUUUAAUUCGAUGAUACGCGAGGAGCCUUACCCGGGCUUAAAUUGCAGAUGAAUUACGGUGAAAGCCGUAAGCCGCAAGGCAUCUGUGAAGGUGCUGCAUGGUUGUCGUCAGCUCGUGCCGUGAGGUGUCGGCUUAAGUGCCAUAACGAGCGCAACCCUUGUUGUCAGUUACUAACAGGUUCCGCUGAGGACUCUGACAAGACUGCCAUCGUAAGAUGUGAGGAAGGUGGGGAUGACGUCAAAUCAGCACGGCCCUUACGUCCGGGGCUACACACGUGUUACAAUGGGGGGUACAGAGGGCCGCUACCACGCGAGUGGAUGCCAAUCCCAAAAACCUCUCUCAGUUCGGACUGGAGUCUGCAACCCGACUCCACGAAGCUGGAUUCGCUAGUAAUCGCGCAUCAGCCACGGCGCGGUGAAUACGUUCCCGGGCCUUGUACACACCGCCCGUCAAGCCAUGGGAGCCGGGGGUACCUGAAGUGCGUAACCGCGAGGAGCGCCCUAGGGUAAAACUGGUGACU
RNAcentral lists this ribosomal RNA (1442 nucleotides) under uncultured organism. RNAcentral's name for it is "SSU rRNA". It matches the Rfam family "Bacterial small subunit ribosomal RNA". The record is from RNAcentral.